This 269-nucleotide ribosomal RNA is filed under the name uncultured bacterium. Its description in RNAcentral is "partial 16S ribosomal RNA". It matches the Rfam family "Bacterial small subunit ribosomal RNA", at positions 88 to 354 of the family's 1533-position model. The record is from RNAcentral.
CCGGCGACCGGCGCACGGUGAGUAACACGUAUGCAACCUGGCCGUGACAGAUGGAUAACCGGGAGAAAUCCCGCCUAAUACAGCAUGACGCCGGGAAGGGACAUCCCUUUCCGGCCAAAGGGGGCGACUCCGGUCACGGAUGGGCAUGCGGCGCAUUAGGUAGUUGGUGGGGCAACGGCCCACCAAGCCGACGAUGCGUAGGGGUUCUGAGAGGAAGGUCCCCCACAUUGGAACUGAGACACGGUCCAAACUCCUACGGGAGGCAGCAG